RNAcentral lists this ribosomal RNA (253 nucleotides) under uncultured bacterium. RNAcentral describes it as "partial 16S ribosomal RNA". It matches the Rfam family "Bacterial small subunit ribosomal RNA", at positions 524 to 776 of the family's 1533-position model. The record is from RNAcentral.
GACGAGGGAUCCUAGCGUUGUUCGGAAUCAUUGGGCGUAAAGCGGAUGUAGGUGGCUUUGUAAGUCAGGUGUGAAAGCCCCGGGCUCAACCCGGGAAGUGCAUUUGAUACUGCGAAGCUUGAGUGCUAGAGAGGUUACUAGAAUACCUGGUGUAGUGGUGAAAUACGUAGAUAUCAGGUGGAAUACCGGCGGCGAAGGCGGGUAACCAGCUAGACACUGACACUCAGAUCCGAAAGUGUGGGGAUCAAACAGG